GGGCGCUUAGCUCAGCUGGUUUAGAGCAUCUGCCUUACAAGCAGAGGGUCGGCGGUUCGAAUCCGUCAGCGCCCACCA
This 78-nucleotide transfer RNA is filed under the name Prevotella sp. RNAcentral's name for it is "tRNA-Val". It matches the Rfam family "tRNA". Rfam says of the family: Transfer RNA (tRNA) molecules are approximately 80 nucleotides in length. The record is from RNAcentral. Lineage: Bacteria; Pseudomonadati; Bacteroidota; Bacteroidia; Bacteroidales; Prevotellaceae. RNAcentral also lists the same sequence under 8 other names.